This 253-nucleotide ribosomal RNA is filed under the name uncultured bacterium. RNAcentral describes it as "partial 16S ribosomal RNA". It matches the Rfam family "Bacterial small subunit ribosomal RNA", at positions 524 to 776 of the family's 1533-position model. The record is from RNAcentral.
UACAGAGGGUGCGAGCGUUAAUCGGAAUUACUGGGCGUAAAGCGUGCGUAGACGGUUAUUUAAGUCGGAUGUGAAAGCCCCGGGCUCAACCUGGGAAUUGCAUUCGAGACUGAAUAGCUAGGGUGCGGUAGAGGGAAUCGGAAUUUCCGGUGUAGCGGUGAAAUGCGUAGAUAUCGGAAGGAACAUCAGUGGCGAAAGCGGCUUCCUGGACCAGCACCGACGUUCAGGCACGAAAGCGUGGGGAGCAAACAGG